AUGUGGGCAACGCGUCCAUCUUCCUACUGGGAGAUCCAGCAGAAGCCUCUGCCGGAGGUGGCGUCCAUGGUGCGCAAAUUAAUUGAUGCGCCAGGGUAUGGAGACCGCUUCCAGGAGGUGGUUGACUGGGUGGAGCAGCACAAGUCCGGUGCCACCUACAUGGACGCGUCCAACAUUGGGCUGGGCUGCCGACGGUGGCCGUGA
RNAcentral lists this ribosomal RNA (204 nucleotides) under Triticum aestivum (bread wheat). RNAcentral describes it as "partial small subunit ribosomal RNA". Lineage: Eukaryota; Viridiplantae; Streptophyta; Magnoliopsida; Poales; Poaceae. The record is from RNAcentral.